CAAUCACGGUGUUAACUUUUCGU
This 23-nucleotide non-coding RNA is filed under the name Arabidopsis thaliana (thale cress). The record is from RNAcentral. Lineage: Eukaryota; Viridiplantae; Streptophyta; Magnoliopsida; Brassicales; Brassicaceae.